Molecule: ribosomal RNA, 823 nt
Filed under: uncultured bacterium
Lineage: Bacteria
Description: bacterial SSU rRNA
Rfam family: Bacterial small subunit ribosomal RNA
Source: RNAcentral
UGACGCUGGCGGCGUGCUUAACACAUGCAAGUCGAACGAUGAAACCUAGCUUGCUAGGUGGAUUAGUGGCGCACGGGUGAGUAAUAUAUAGGUAAUGUGCCUCUUAGUCUGGGAUAGCCAUUGGAAACGAUGAUUAAUACUGGAUACUCCUUCUAACUCUAAUGUUAGUCGGGAAAGUUUUUCGCUAAGAGAUCAGCCUAUAUCCCAUCAGUUAGUUGGUAAGGUAACGGCUUACCAAGGCAAUGACGGGUAGCGGGUUUGAGAGGAUGAUCCGCCACACUGGUACUGAGACACGGACCAGACUCCUACGGGAGGCAGCAGUGAGGAAUAUUGCACAAUGGGGGAAACCCUGAUGCAGCAACGCCGCGUGGAGGAUGACGCAUUUCGGUGUGUAAACUCCUUUUAUAUGUCAAGAAAAUGACGGUAGCAUAUGAAUAAGCACCGGCUAACUCCGUGCCAGCAGCCGCGGUAAUACGGAGGGUGCAAGCGUUACUCGGAAUCACUGGGCGUAAAGGACGCGUAGGCGGAUUGGAAAGUCAGAUGUGAAAUCCUACAGCUUAACUGUAGAACUGCAUUUGAAACUUCUAAUCUAGAGUAUGGGAGGGGGAGAUGGAAUUAGUGGUGUAGGGGUAAAAUCCGUAGAUAUCACUAGGAAUACCGAAAGCGAAGGCGAUCUCCUGGAACAUUACUGACGCUAAGGCGUGAAAGCGUGGGGAGCAAACAGGAUUAGAUACCCUGGUAGUCCACGCCCUAAACGAUGAACACUAGUCGUCGGGAUGCUUGUCAUCUCGGUGAUGCACUUAACAGAUUAAGUGUUCCGCCU